CCCCUGAUGACGUCACCGCACUGCAGCUUCUAGUAGCUUUUCGCAGCGUUUCCAACCGCCGGGCGCGGUGGCGCGUGCCUGUAGUCCCAGCUACUCGGGAGGCUGAGGUGGGAGGAUCGCUUGAGCCCAGGAGUUCUGGGCUGUAGUGCGCUAUGCCGAUCGGGUGUCCGCACUAAGUUCGGCAUCAAUAUGGUGACCUCCCGGGAGCGGGGGACCACCAGGUUGCCUAAGGAGGGGUGAACCGGCCCAGGUCGGAAACGGAGCAGGUCAAAACUCCCGUGCUGAUCAGUAGUGGGAUCGCGCCUGUGAAUAGCCACUGCACUCCAGCCUGGGCAACAUAGCGAGACCCUGUCUCUUUUGCCCUCCUCGCCCACUAAGGGUACCUUUGUAAGUGGAUAGUGUCAAGAAGUUUGCCUCCUUUCAGCUUCAUACGUAUUAAGAAGCAUACUAAUGUGCGCAUUUAAAGACGAGCCCACUCUUCCUCUAAGGGCAAAAAUAUAUGCAGAGAUGUUACUGAGGUUUACAGUCGGCUUACUCUCUCCACUCUUCUAUUUAUCCACUAUUUUACGUUUCCUUUAGCGUUAAAACUCACCAGUCGACGGGAUGCUCGGGGACUUGCAACCACCUCAUCGCUGCCCCCUACCGGCGCAUAUUCAAAACGUCUCUGCGAAAAGCUGUUAUUACCCUCGGAGCCGACAGGGGCUGCUCGUUUACCCACAGCCAGUCGGAAAAAAUGGCCGCCAGACCACCGAGAGCAAAAAGGCUAACUUUCCGACGAGAAACCCCACUACUGCCUCCUUAUAAGGGGAAAAUUCGUCUCAGAGGAACCCAUAACGUCCUGUGAUGACAGAGGUGAGGGGCCAGCGUGGCAGAAUGCAUCACCUUGUCUCCCUGCUUGCUUCUCUCUCCGUUGGAUUGCCAAAAGGUAACGGCACCUAGACUCCGAAAAGUAAUUGAAGCAAAGGGAGUUUAAAGAACGCACGCGACGGCCUGGGUCUUGAACCCAGUGUUAAAAACCUCUGCAUCCUCCACUGAGCUGUCUUUGAGCAUGUCUCAUAAUCAUGCUUCAUUUUUUAAAAAGAAAUAAGUGAAUACCCUAUGAAAGAAGACAGCCUUUAAAUUUUUCAAAAGUUCUUGGUGGUCUGUGAUUAGAAAUUUCAUCUAUAUGAAAUAACAGUUUUGGAGGGCUUACUGUUAAAUUCAGGCGUUU
RNAcentral lists this long non-coding RNA (1210 nucleotides) under Piliocolobus tephrosceles (Ugandan red Colobus). RNAcentral describes it as "lncRNA (ENSPTEG00000000640.1)". The stretch from base 58 to 357 matches the Rfam family "Metazoan signal recognition particle RNA". Lineage: Eukaryota; Metazoa; Chordata; Mammalia; Primates; Cercopithecidae. The record is from RNAcentral.